GGGCGUCAUAGAGGGUGAGAAUCCCGUAUGCGGUAGGUUGCCUUAGCCAUGUGAAUCUCCUUCGACGAGUCGAGUUGUUUGGGAAUGCAGCUCUAAAUGGGAGGUAAAUUUCUUCUAAAGCUAAAUACCGGCCAGAGACCGAUAGCGCACAAGUAGAGUGAUCGAAAGAUGAAAAGCACUUUGGAAAGAGAGUUAAAAAGUACGUGAAAUUGUUGAAAGGGAAGCGCUUGCAACCAGACUUGUCCGCAGUUGCUCAGCCGGUCUCCUGACCGGCGUACUCUUCUGCGGCCAGGCCAGCAUCAGUUCGGGCGGUCGGAUAAAGGCCUCGGGAAUGUGGCUCCUCUCGGGGAGUGUUAUAGCCCGGGGUGCAAUGCGGCCAGCCUGGACUGAGGAACUCGCUUCGGCAAGGAUGCUGGCGUAAUGGUUGUAAGCGGCCCGUCUUGAAACACGGACCAAGGAGUCUAACAUCUAUGCGAGUGUUCGGGUGUCAAACCCGUACGCGUAAUGAAAGUGAACGGAGGUGGGAAC
Molecule: ribosomal RNA, 528 nt
Filed under: Lasiodiplodia theobromae
Lineage: Eukaryota; Fungi; Ascomycota; Dothideomycetes; Botryosphaeriales; Botryosphaeriaceae
Description: LSU rRNA
Rfam family: Eukaryotic large subunit ribosomal RNA
Source: RNAcentral